This 90-nucleotide transfer RNA is filed under the name Candidatus Saccharimonadota bacterium. RNAcentral's name for it is "tRNA-Ser". It matches the Rfam family "tRNA". From Rfam's summary of the family: Transfer RNA (tRNA) molecules are approximately 80 nucleotides in length. Their secondary structure includes four short double-helical elements and three loops (D, anti-codon, and T loops). The record is from RNAcentral. Lineage: Bacteria; Candidatus Saccharimonadota.
GGAGAGAUGUCCGAGUGGUUUAAGGAACUGGUCUUGAAAACCAGCGUGCCGGCAACGGUACCCAGGGUUCGAAUCCCUGUCUCUCCGCCA